CACGAGCAGGUUCCGCCCCGCCCCUGCAAACACUCGCCACCUAAACCAGGAAGCAAAAUACACGUAAACACGGACUAAACAAAUAUAAGGCAGAAAGACGAGCUGUUUUCAGCGGAUUGCUGCACAGAAGCGAAUAUAAACCCGCCCUGGAUGUGUUUAUUCCUCUAAACGCACGUGGAUCUACCAGCACUGCUCCACUGGUCCCACCAUCACUCAGAGUAAGAAGGAAGUACACAUCAAUACUCUUCUGUUCUGGCACCGAGGUGGUGGAAUAAAAUUCCUCUAGAUGUCCAAACAGCCGAGUCUUCAAACGAUCGUUGCUGUGGGCAGUAUGGGACAGCACAUGGGAAAACGUGAGCUAUCACCAGAGUCGAAGACGCUGUCAGACCCAGCCUCUAGUACCACAGCGGAGUCUGACACUCGGGACGAUGUCUUUGGCAUGAACGACUCGGACGUCAACCAGAACAAAAACCGUCCAAACAAAAGCCAGACGACGUCAGGCGACGCCCCUCCCAGCGCCGGACAGACCAACCAGCGUGGUGGAUAUUGGCCACGCCCACACUUGGUCCGCCUUUUUUCCCGUGAUGCCCCGGGCCGAGAGGACAACACCUUCAAAGAGCGACCGUCGGAGUCGGACGAACUUCACACCAUCGAGGAGGUCGGAGGAGCCACGUCCGAAAACGCAGAGUGAAAGCAUAUAACCCGACUCGUUCACUUGCUCCUUUCGCUCUUUGACACCCAACAUGGCGUCUUCAGGCUCAGCAGGACAGUCCGGCUUCAGACUCGGGCGCGCAAAGAAAAACCCUGGAGUGAUGGAUCAGAUUGGAAAAAUCUUUGGAGGUGAUAAGAAGCGGAAGAGCAAGGGGGAUCAGAAGAGUUCAGUGAAGGCGCAGAAAGGGCGUGCGGCAGCAGGACAGGGGACGCUGACCCGCAUCUUCAAAAUGGGAGGAACCAGAGCAGCAUCACCGGCCAAACGCUGAGCUCCAGCUCUUUCAUCAUUCUCCAUUAAACAUGAUGACCCUGAACGGAGAGAAAGGAAAGAAGAAGGAAGCUUUUUUCCUCCACUUACAUUUUUUCCCGCUAGUGUCUCCUGCACUAACCUGAACAAGAUCGUGCUCAUCCUUUCUUUAUCUUUGCAUCUAUUUGUUUACGUCAGUUUCUUCAUCCGUUAAGUUCUGCGCGGUCGGAUCCUCGGCUAUCCUCUCCUAAUGUCCCUGUCUUUUGAGAAAAUGAGGCACUGAGAACCUUUUGAGGAAAACUGUUAUCGCUUUAUAUCACUGAGGACAAAAUGGUGAUUGGUUUAAUACGUUUUUGAUUGUUGUGUUACUUUGUGAAGUUAUAAGCUAAUUGCAGACCUUUCAUAAUGACUCAAGAAGCUAGCUAGCUAAUUUAGCUCAUUCACCGUAGCUAGGACUUUCUAGUUGCAGAUUAGCUAACUUAGCAUGCGAGCUAAAUGUUACAAAAUCUUCACAUGGACAAUAAUCGCCUCAAAAGUUUGUCGUGUAUCAUUUAGAUUACUAAAUAUUAUUCUUGUGGUUCUGUCUUUGUCUCAAGAGUCGAUGUGACUAGCAUUUAGCAUCUAACCGCUUAUUUAGCGGCGCACAGGAUGAACUCACACACGUGUACUUUAUGGCUUCGUGUAGUCUCGUCUGUAACUCACUCUUCCUCGAUGUCUUAGCGGAUCUGACUGCAAAAUGUUGAGCUAAAAAAAAAAACCAAAGUAACUAAAAUGUCGUCUAAUGUCGAUUUUCAGUCACGGGAAUUUUUAGUCACUGUAUGCUAUCGCGACGUCGCUCUCUCUCUCUCUCUCAACUUUGACUAUUUCUUUGAGCUUUUUGAAUAAAAUCAUCCCCCAAUAAAACUUGGACACAGCUAGCAUAAAAAAGCAGUAGAAACUAUGCAUGUGUUAGACUGCUAAUGGAGUGAUGGGAAUCAUUAAAAAUGCAAAUAAAGGAGACGUAUAUGUCA
Molecule: RNA transcript, 1968 nt
Organism: Tachysurus fulvidraco (yellow catfish)
Lineage: Eukaryota; Metazoa; Chordata; Actinopteri; Siluriformes; Bagridae
Gene: mbpb
Gene name: myelin basic protein b
Exons: 7
Source: RefSeq, a predicted model, not a curated record